Molecule: ribosomal RNA, 484 nt
Filed under: uncultured bacterium
Lineage: Bacteria
Description: partial 16S ribosomal RNA
Rfam family: Bacterial small subunit ribosomal RNA
Source: RNAcentral
AUUGAACGCUGGCGGCAGGCCUAACACAUGCAAGUCGAGCGGAUGAAGGGAGCUUGCUCCUGGCUUCAGCGGCGGACGGGUGAGUAAUGCCUAGGAAUCUGCCUGGUAGUGGGGGAUAACGUCCGGAAACGGGCGCUAAUACCGCAUACGUCCUGAGGGAGAAAGUGGGGGAUCUUCGGACCUCACGCUAUCUGAUGAGCCUAGGUCGGAUUAGCUAGUUGGUGGGGUAAAGGCCUACCAAGGCGACGAUCCGUAACUGGUCUGAGAGGAUGAUCAGUCACACUGGAACUGAGACACGGUCCAGACUCCUACGGGAGGCAGCAGUGGGGAAUAUUGGACAAUGGGCGAAAGCCUGAUCCAGCCAUGCCGCGUGUGUGAAGAAGGUCUUCGGAUUGUAAAGCACUUUAAGUUGGGAGGAAGGGCAGUAAGUUAAUACCUUGCUGUUUUGACGUUACCAACAGAAUAAGCACCGGCUAACUUCGUG